This 1450-nucleotide ribosomal RNA is filed under the name Vibrio parahaemolyticus. RNAcentral describes it as "16S ribosomal RNA". It matches the Rfam family "Bacterial small subunit ribosomal RNA". The record is from RNAcentral. Lineage: Bacteria; Pseudomonadati; Pseudomonadota; Gammaproteobacteria; Vibrionales; Vibrionaceae.
UUGAAGAGUUUGAUCAUGGCUCAGAUUGAACGCUGGCGGCAGGCCUAACACAUGCAAGUCGAGCGGAAACGAGUUAUCUGAACCUUCGGGGAACGAUAACGGCGUCGAGCGGCGGACGGGUGAGUAAUGCCUAGGAAAUUGCCCUGAUGUGGGGGAUAACCAUUGGAAACGAUGGCUAAUACCGCAUGAUGCCUACGGGCCAAAGAGGGGGACCUUCGGGCCUCUCGCGUCAGGAUAUGCCUAGGUGGGAUUAGCUAGUUGGUGAGGUAAGGGCUCACCAAGGCGACGAUCCCUAGCUGGUCUGAGAGGAUGAUCAGCCACACUGGAACUGAGACACGGUCCAGACUCCUACGGGAGGCAGCAGUGGGGAAUAUUGCACAAUGGGCGCAAGCCUGAUGCAGCCAUGCCGCGUGUGUGAAGAAGGCCUUCGGGUUGUAAAGCACUUUCAGUCGUGAGGAAGGUAGUGUAGUUAAUAGCUGCAUNAUUUGACGUUAGCGACAGAAGAAGCACCGGCUAACUCCGUGCCAGCAGCCGCGGUAAUACGGAGGGUGCGAGCGUUAAUCGGAAUUACUGGGCGUAAAGCGCAUGCAGGUGGUUUGUUAAGUCAGAUGUGAAAGCCCGGGGCUCAACCUCGGAAUUGCAUUUGAAACUGGCAGACUAGAGUACUGUAGAGGGGGGUAGAAUUUCAGGUGUAGCGGUGAAAUGCGUAGAGAUCUGAAGGAAUACCGGUGGCGAAGGCGGCCCCCUGGACAGAUACUGACACUCAGAUGCGAAAGCGUGGGGAGCAAACAGGAUUAGAUACCCUGGUAGUCCACGCCGUAAACGAUGUCUACUUGGAGGUUGUGGCCUUGAGCCGUGGCUUUCGGAGCUAACGCGUUAAGUAGACCGCCUGGGGAGUACGGUCGCAAGAUUAAAACUCAAAUGAAUUGACGGGGGNCCGCACAAGCGGUGGAGCAUGUGGUUUAAUUCGAUGCAACGCGAAGAACCUUACCUACUCUUGACAUCCAGAGAACUUUCCAGAGAUGGAUUGGUGCCUUCGGGAACUCUGAGACAGGUGCUGCAUGGCUGUCGUCAGCUCGUGUUGUGAAAUGUUGGGUUAAGUCCCGCAACGAGCGCAACCCUUAUCCUUGUUUGCCAGCGAGUAAUGUCGGGAACUCCAGGGAGACUGCCGGUGAUAAACCGGAGGAAGGUGGGGACGACGUCAAGUCAUCAUGGCCCUUACGAGUAGGGCUACACACGUGCUACAAUGGCGCAUACAGAGGGCAGCCAACUUGCGAAAGUGAGCGAAUCCCAAAAAGUGCGUCGUAGUCCGGAUUGGAGUCUGCAACUCGACUCCAUGAAGUCGGAAUCGCUAGUAAUCGUGGAUCAGAAUGCCACGGUGAAUACGUUCCCGGGCCUUGUACACACCGCCCGUCACACCAUGGGAGUGGGCUGCNAAAGAAGUAGGUAG